RNAcentral lists this ribosomal RNA (252 nucleotides) under uncultured bacterium. RNAcentral describes it as "partial 16S ribosomal RNA". It matches the Rfam family "Bacterial small subunit ribosomal RNA", at positions 524 to 776 of the family's 1533-position model. The record is from RNAcentral.
UACGUAGGUCCCGAGCGUUGUCCGGAUUUAUCGGGCGUAAAGCGAGCGCAGGUGGUUUAUUAAGUCUGGUGUAAAAGGCAGUGGCUCAACCAUUGUAUGCAUUGGAAACUGGUAGACUUGAGUGCAGGAGAGGAGAGUGGAAUUCCAUGUGUAGCGGUGAAAUGCGUAGAUAUAUGGAGGAACACCGGUGGCGAAAGCGGCUCUCUGGCCUGUAACUGACGCUGAGGCUCGAAAGCGUGGGGAGCAAACAGG